UCCCCAGCAGUCCAGUGGUUAGGACUCCUUGCUUCCACUGCAGGGGACAUGGGUUCAAUCCCUGGCUGGGGAA
Molecule: transfer RNA, 73 nt
Filed under: Bos taurus (domestic cattle)
Lineage: Eukaryota; Metazoa; Chordata; Mammalia; Artiodactyla; Bovidae
Also listed under: 2 other names
Rfam family: tRNA
About the family: Transfer RNA (tRNA) molecules are approximately 80 nucleotides in length.
Source: Rfam by way of RNAcentral